UGUACUAUGCUGAUCAGGUGUCUGCUCUGAUUUUGGCAUCAAUGUGGUGACCUCCCAGGAGCAUGGGACCACCGGGUUGCCUAAGGAGGGGUGAACCAGCCCAGGUCAGAAAUGGAGCAGGUCAAAACUCCCGUGCUGAUCAGUAGUAGUAUCGCACUUGUGAACAGUCA
Macaca fascicularis (crab-eating macaque) is the source of this 170-nucleotide unclassified non-coding RNA. It matches the Rfam family "Metazoan signal recognition particle RNA". From Rfam's summary of the family: The signal recognition particle (SRP) is a universally conserved ribonucleoprotein. It is involved in the co-translational targeting of proteins to membranes. NCBI's taxonomy places the organism in Eukaryota, Metazoa, Chordata, Mammalia, Primates, Cercopithecidae. The record is from Ensembl.